Molecule: non-coding RNA, 35 nt
Filed under: unclassified sequences
Description: DUF805b RNA
Rfam family: DUF805b RNA
About the family: Bacteroidetes, Chlorobi (1 example), Proteobacteria. Lineage (Flavobacteria)
Source: RNAcentral
AAGGAAGCAGCCGAAAAUCCUUAAAAGAGUAGGCG